RNAcentral lists this ribosomal RNA (497 nucleotides) under uncultured bacterium. RNAcentral describes it as "partial 16S ribosomal RNA". It matches the Rfam family "Bacterial small subunit ribosomal RNA", at positions 28 to 507 of the family's 1533-position model. The record is from RNAcentral.
GAUGAACGCUGGCGGCGUGCCUAAUACAUGCAAGUCGAGCGAACGGACGAGAAGCUUGCUUCUCUGAUGUUAGCGGCGGACGGGUGAGUAACACGUGGAUAACCUACCUAUAAGACUGGGAUAACUUCGGGAAACCGGAGCUAAUACCGGAUGAUAUUUUGAACCACAUGGUUCAAAAGUGAAAGACGGUCUUGCUGUCACUUAUAGAUGGAUCCGCGCUGCAUUAGCUAGUUGGUAAGGUAACGGCUUACCAAGGCAACGAUGCAUAGCCGACCUGAGAGGGUGAUCGGCCACACUGGAACUGAGACACGGUCCAGACUCCUACGGGAGGCAGCAGUAGGGAAUCUUCCGCAAUGGGCGAAAGCCUGACGGAGCAACGCCGCGUGAGUGAUGAAGGUCUUCGGAUCGUAAAACUCUGUUAUUAGGGAAGAACAUAUGUGUAAGUAACUGUGCACAUCUUGACGGUACCUGAUCAGAAAGCCACGGCUAACUACGUG